This 254-nucleotide long non-coding RNA is filed under the name Homo sapiens (human). RNAcentral describes it as "HSALNT0153162". Lineage: Eukaryota; Metazoa; Chordata; Mammalia; Primates; Hominidae. The record is from RNAcentral.
UAGAUCUCUGAACUAUUAGUACUGCACUCUCCACCUCCUACCUCUGAGAUGCCAUGCAAACCAUAGAGAGGUAGCAGGUGGCCCCAGUUUGUGCCUCUAGCCACAAGCCAGGAGGCUGUGAUAGCCUGCUGCUGACUCCUCCUGGGCUCUGAACACCUUGAGUGAAACACCUGAUUUAGGCAGGAGCAGGAUACCUGGAUUGAGGAGAUCCUCUUAUUGCAUAUUGUACUUGAAUGGACUCUCAUUGCCAAAGU